Molecule: ribosomal RNA, 460 nt
Filed under: bacterium Ellin368
Lineage: Bacteria; Pseudomonadati; Pseudomonadota; Betaproteobacteria; Burkholderiales; Burkholderiaceae
Description: bacterial SSU rRNA
Rfam family: Bacterial small subunit ribosomal RNA
Source: RNAcentral
AUUGAACGCUGAGCGGGCAUGCCUUACACAUGCAAGUCGAAACGGCAGCACGGGGGCAACCCUGGUGGCGAGUGGCGAACGGGUGAGUAAUACAUCGGAACGUGUCCUGGAGUGGGGGAUAGCCCGGCGAAAGCCGGAUUAAUACCGCAUACGCUCUAUGGAGGAAAGCGGGGGAUCUUCGGACCUCGCGCUCAAGGGGCGGCCGAUGRCGRAUUAGCUAGUUGGUAGGGUAAAGGCCUACCAAGGCGACGAUCCGUAGCUGGUCUGAGAGAACGACCAGCCACACUGGGACUGAGACACGGCCCAGACUCCUACGGGAGGCAGCAGUGGGGAAUUUUGGACAAUGGGGGCAACCCUGAUCCAGCAAUGCCGCGUGUGUGAAGAAGGCCUUCGGGUUGUAAAGCACUUUUGUCCGGAAAGAAAUCCUCUGGGUUAAUACCUCGGGGGGAUGACGGUACCG